GAUGAACGCUGACAGAAUGCUUAACACAUGCAAGUCAACUGUGGCGGACGGGUGAGUAACGCGUAAAGAACUUGCCUCACAGUUAGGGACAACAUUUGGAAACGAAUGCUAAUACCUGAUACUGUGAGAGAGCUUUGCGUCCCAUUAGCUAGUUGGAGAGGUAACGGCUCACCAAGGCGAUGAUGGGUAGCCGGCCUGAGAGGGUGAUCGGCCACAAGGGGACUGGGACACGGACCUUACGCCGUCGGGAGGCAGCAGUGGGGAAUAUUGGACAAUGGACCAAAGUCUGAUCCAGCAAUUCGGGGUGCACGAUGAAGUUUUCGGAAUGUAAAGUUCUUUCAGUUGGGAAGCGGUACCAACAGAAGAAGUGACGGCUAAAUACGUGCCAGCAGCCGCGGUAAUUC
Molecule: ribosomal RNA, 404 nt
Filed under: uncultured bacterium
Lineage: Bacteria
Description: partial 16S ribosomal RNA
Rfam family: Bacterial small subunit ribosomal RNA
Source: RNAcentral